UUUCAGCUCUAAAAAGCCAAUCCUCUGGUCAACGAGCUUCCGCCAGUGCCGAGUGCCAGCUCACAAAGGAAGUCAGCCAGCUUCUAAUAAUGCUCCCCAUAAGCCUUGGCAACUGAGACCAGCCUUGACCCGUGGCAUUUCUUCUGAACGUCCAAGAACUAGCUAAGAAGGAAGGACCCAGACUCAAGGGUCAAGCCAUGCAUCCUCCAGCCGUGAGACCACCCCACCAGUGACCGAGAGGGUCAUCUCCAGGACAGGCGUGGUGCCACGCCUACAGCACAUCAACAGAAGGCUAAGCAAGUCACAAACAGGCAUCGUGUUCGGCCCACUGCGACCCACGUGAAGUCUCCCGCCAGACGGGUGGUCACAUCCCAGCCCAGGAGGAAUGAAUCUGUGUACAAAACAGUGGCCAAUGGACCAAACCCAGCUCUGAGGAACGGCCCAGACAAGACACUGCUGUUAUCUGAAUACACCCCCUGCUCAGGGCCCUAACCCAGCAUACAGAUGUGGACCUGACCGGGGUCGAGUUCACGGGAGCCAGGGUGCCCAGGGCCCAGACCUGUCUAUCCGAUGUGGACCCCAGAGUGAGCUUCAUGCCGGUCCAAGCAUAGAGAACCUCAGUGAGACAAACGCUCACUCGCUGCUCGUGUCGGCCGUGUAGACGGUUACUGACUUGUUAAAGUAGGACAAGGUGGAAAAACAAUACCCACAAGCCGAUGUUGACUGAAAAUAUGUUUUGAUUGUCAGGCAAUUUAUCAUGUAUUUGUAACAGUUAAUGAUUAGCUUGUGUACACACAGACCGUGUUGCAGUUUGUUUCUUCGGCUACAAUGUCUAGAUGUGUCGUGGAGCCUAGUCGAACUUUAAACAAAUGGACUGAUUUAAUUUUAUCAGAAUAAUAUCUCGUACACAAUCUCUUUGCAUGUCAGUAAAUACUCUCUCCUCAAGCGUCAUGUCAGCUAUUUAGACAUGAAGCUCAUGUAACCAGAUACGUUGUCAUUUUUAACAAGGUCAACAGAUUCUUUUUUAAAGGAUAACAUUUUGCAUGGUGUAUUUUAUUAAUAACAAGAAUGUCUUAUCCAUUUCUACUUUAAUGUUGUAUGUGAUUAUACUAUUAAAACCCUUUGUAAAUAACUGGAAAUCACUCUUGUCGUCCAGAAGGUGAUGCUUGGCAUUUUGAUCAAAUCUGUUUGUAUGUGUAUUUUUUGCGAGAUUUGAUUUAUGACUGUUUUGUGAAUGUGGGGGUUGCAAGGUAUAAUGUGCCUCUGUUCCUGUAUAGGGCCUAAUUAGCUGUGUUGAUUGGCUGUUCUCUGUAAGGAGUCUGAAUGGACCCAAGUAGAAAUACUGUUAAAAAAUUGGAUCUGGAGUGUACAUCGUGUGACGUAGCUGAUAGAUGGUCACCCCACAUUAGCACUGGGAGUGGUCAUGACAUCAACCACUGGUUUGCUACGGUCAUAUUGUAGUAUUCAAGUGCAACCUUCCCUUGUCAAUAGAGUGAUUUGAUACAUCAGAGAGUCUGAUUCACUGAUUCAUGUCAUCAUUACCCCGUUGAUUAUAAGUGAUGUGGGGCAGUGGGGAAGCCUAGUGGUUAAAGCGUUUGCUCGUCAUGCAGAAGACCUGGGUUCGAUUCCCCACAUGGGUACAAUGUGUGAAGCCCAUUUCUGGUGACACCCGCCGUGACAUAGCUGCAAUAUUGCUAAAAGCGGCGUAAAACCCAACUCACUCACUCACUAUAAGUGAUAAUUUUCAUCACCAAGUGGACCAUGUCAGGAUUAGUUGAUUGUAGUUCUAUCCAGCUUCCCUGCAUACUUUAAGUUUAAGAUGAUCAUGAGCCUGUUAAAGUAGGUUUAAGCUUGUGAGAGCUGAAGUAUGUUUUGUGUUGUAUGUGUACGACAUUGGGAAUAGUUGUGCAAUAGCUGUACACUUUAUAUCUCAAGAUCUAGUGGUCCUUUCCGUAACCUGUGAUUGGGGUUUUGGUCAGCUCUGUAGUUUGACCUGCAGGAAUCUCAAUAGGAUAAGUUAAAUCUAAAAAAAUUAUAAGACAUGUUUACAGUUGAUGAAAUAGGUUGCCAAACCUACGUUUUGUUUUCAGUUUGAUUUCUUGAAGGUACUUGAGGAACACCUGAUGAACCAGUAGUAUUUGUAUGUUCAAUGAUAACUGUGUCUUGUGACUGAUGUUGAUGACAUUAGAGUGUUAUGUUAAAUUGUCUUUCUUAUAAAAUGAUUUAUUGUUGACUCAUUUUCCUAACAAAUAUGUAUAUAUACUACUCUCUCCUGUCAUGAUGUUCAUUAUUUAUGUGUUGGAAACACAUGUUGUGUAGAAGGCAUGGUAGGCGAUAACCCUCUACAUUUAUCCUUGUUGCAUUUAAUCGUCAUUUUUUUCUACAAUAGUAUUUUGUUUUCCAGUAAUUAAAUUAUAAAUAAAUAAUUCUUCGUU
This 2435-nucleotide unclassified non-coding RNA is filed under the name Haliotis rubra (blacklip abalone). Its description in RNAcentral is "yes-associated protein homolog 1-like, transcript variant X5". Lineage: Eukaryota; Metazoa; Mollusca; Gastropoda; Lepetellida; Haliotidae. The record is from RNAcentral.